Molecule: ribosomal RNA, 2786 nt
Filed under: Escherichia coli
Lineage: Bacteria; Pseudomonadati; Pseudomonadota; Gammaproteobacteria; Enterobacterales; Enterobacteriaceae
Description: bacterial LSU rRNA
Rfam family: Bacterial large subunit ribosomal RNA
Source: RNAcentral
AGCGUACACGGUGGAUGCCCUGGCAGUCAGAGGCGAUGAAGGACGUGCUAAUCUGCGAUAAGCGUCGGUAAGGUGAUAUGAACCGUUAUAACCGGCGAUUUCCGAAUGGGGAAACCCAGUGUGAUUCGUCACACUAUCAUUAACUGAAUCCAUAGGUUAAUGAGGCGAACCGGGGGAACUGAAACAUCUAAGUACCCCGAGGAAAAGAAAUCAACCGAGAUUCCCCCAGUAGCGGCGAGCGAACGGGGAGGAGCCCAGAGCCUGAAUCAGUGUGUGUGUUAGUGGAAGCGUCUGGAAAGGCGCGCGAUACAGGGUGACAGCCCCGUACACAAAAAUGCACAUGCUGUGAGCUCGAUGAGUAGGGCGGGACACGUGGUAUCCUGUCUGAAUAUGGGGGGACCAUCCUCCAAGGCUAAAUACUCCUGACUGACCGAUAGUGAACCAGUACCGUGAGGGAAAGGCGAAAAGAACCCCGGCGAGGGGAGUGAAAAAGAACCUGAAACCGUGUACGUACAAGCAGUGGGAGCACGCUUAGGCGUGUGACUGCGUACCUUUUGUAUAAUGGGUCAGCGACUUAUAUUCUGUAGCAAGGUUAACCGAAUAGGGGAGCCGAAGGGAAACCGAGUCUUAACUGGGCGUUAAGUUGCAGGGUAUAGACCCGAAACCCGGUGAUCUAGCCAUGGGCAGGUUGAAGGUUGGGUAACACUAACUGGAGGACCGAACCGACUAAUGUUGAAAAAUUAGCGGAUGACUUGUGGCUGGGGGUGAAAGGCCAAUCAAACCGGGAGAUAGCUGGUUCUCCCCGAAAGCUAUUUAGGUAGCGCCUCGUGAAUUCAUCUCCGGGGGUAGAGCACUGUUUCGGCAAGGGGGUCAUCCCGACUUACCAACCCGAUGCAAACUGCGAAUACCGGAGAAUGUUAUCACGGGAGACACACGGCGGGUGCUAACGUCCGUCGUGAAGAGGGAAACAACCCAGACCGCCAGCUAAGGUCCCAAAGUCAUGGUUAAGUGGGAAACGAUGUGGGAAGGCCCAGACAGCCAGGAUGUUGGCUUAGAAGCAGCCAUCAUUUAAAGAAAGCGUAAUAGCUCACUGGUCGAGUCGGCCUGCGCGGAAGAUGUAACGGGGCUAAACCAUGCACCGAAGCUGCGGCAGCGACACUAUGUGUUGUUGGGUAGGGGAGCGUUCUGUAAGCCUGUGAAGGUGUGCUGUGAGGCAUGCUGGAGGUAUCAGAAGUGCGAAUGCUGACAUAAGUAACGAUAAAGCGGGUGAAAAGCCCGCUCGCCGGAAGACCAAGGGUUCCUGUCCAACGUUAAUCGGGGCAGGGUGAGUCGACCCCUAAGGCGAGGCCGAAAGGCGUAGUCGAUGGGAAACAGGUUAAUAUUCCUGUACUUGGUGUUACUGCGAAGGGGGGACGGAGAAGGCUAUGUUGGCCGGGCGACGGUUGUCCCGGUUUAAGCGUGUAGGCUGGUUUUCCAGGCAAAUCCGGAAAAUCAAGGCUGAGGCGUGAUGACGAGGCACUACGGUGCUGAAGCAACAAAUGCCCUGCUUCCAGGAAAAGCCUCUAAGCAUCAGGUAACAUCAAAUCGUACCCCAAACCGACACAGGUGGUCAGGUAGAGAAUACCAAGGCGCUUGAGAGAACUCGGGUGAAGGAACUAGGCAAAAUGGUGCCGUAACUUCGGGAGAAGGCACGCUGAUAUGUAGGUGAAGUCCCUCGCGGAUGGAGCUGAAAUCAGUCGAAGAUACCAGCUGGCUGCAACUGUUUAUUAAAAACACAGCACUGUGCAAACACGAAAGUGGACGUAUACGGUGUGACGCCUGCCCGGUGCCGGAAGGUUAAUUGAUGGGGUUAGCGCAAGCGAAGCUCUUGAUCGAAGCCCCGGUAAACGGCGGCCGUAACUAUAACGGUCCUAAGGUAGCGAAAUUCCUUGUCGGGUAAGUUCCGACCUGCACGAAUGGCGUAAUGAUGGCCAGGCUGUCUCCACCCGAGACUCAGUGAAAUUGAACUCGCUGUGAAGAUGCAGUGUACCCGCGGCAAGACGGAAAGACCCCGUGAACCUUUACUAUAGCUUGACACUGAACAUUGAGCCUUGAUGUGUAGGAUAGGUGGGAGGCUUUGAAGUGUGGACGCCAGUCUGCAUGGAGCCGACCUUGAAAUACCACCCUUUAAUGUUUGAUGUUCUAACGUUGACCCGUGAUCCGGGUUGCGGACAGUGUCUGGUGGGUAGUUUGACUGGGGCGGUCUCCUCCUAAAGAGUAACGGAGGAGCACGAAGGUUGGCUAAUCCUGGUCGGACAUCAGGAGGUUAGUGCAAUGGCAUAAGCCAGCUUGACUGCGAGCGUGACGGCGCGAGCAGGUGCGAAAGCAGGUCAUAGUGAUCCGGUGGUUCUGAAUGGAAGGGCCAUCGCUCAACGGAUAAAAGGUACUCCGGGGAUAACAGGCUGAUACCGCCCAAGAGUUCAUAUCGACGGCGGUGUUUGGCACCUCGAUGUCGGCUCAUCACAUCCUGGGGCUGAAGUAGGUCCCAAGGGUAUGGCUGUUCGCCAUUUAAAGUGGUACGCGAGCUGGGUUUAGAACGUCGUGAGACAGUUCGGUCCCUAUCUGCCGUGGGCGCUGGAGAACUGAGGGGGGCUGCUCCUAGUACGAGAGGACCGGAGUGGACGCAUCACUGGUGUUCGGGUUGUCAUGCCAAUGGCACUGCCCGGUAGCUAAAUGCGGAAGAGAUAAGUGCUGAAAGCAUCUAAGCACGAAACUUGCCCCGAGAUGAGUUCUCCCUGACUCCUUGA